This 668-nucleotide ribosomal RNA is filed under the name Piloderma sp. 1 CC 19-03. Its description in RNAcentral is "eukaryotic LSU rRNA". The stretch from base 263 to 417 matches the Rfam family "5.8S ribosomal RNA". The record is from RNAcentral. Lineage: Eukaryota; Fungi; Basidiomycota; Agaricomycetes; Atheliales; Atheliaceae.
UCUUGGUCAUUUAGAGGAAGUAAAAGUCGUAACAAGGUUUCCGUAGGUGAACCUGCGGAAGGAUCAUUAUUGAAAUUAUAGGCAAAGGUUGUAGCUGGCCUCUCGGGGCAUGUGCACGCCUGAGCCCCUUAAUCCACACACACCUGUGAACCAAUUGUAAGGGCCCCCUGAAAAGGGCCUUUACGUCUUAUUCAUCAACCCAUUGCAUGUCUCAGAAUGUAAACAUAUGUCCUCGCCUUAAAAAGCGUUGAUAAACUUAUACAACUUUCAACAACGGAUCUCUUGGCUCUCGCAUCGAUGAAGAACGCAGCGAAAUGCGAUAAGUAAUGUGAAUUGCAGAUUUUCAGUGAAUCAUCGAAUCUUUGAACGCACCUUGCGCUCCUUGGUAUUCCGAGGAGCAUGCCUGUUUGAGUGUCAUUAAAUUCUCAACUCCGAUCGAUUUGUUUCGACCUCGGAGCUUGGACUUUGGAGUGUGCUGGCGUCGGUCGGCUCCUCUCAAAUGCAUCAGCGGAAUCUAACGUUUCGGACGUCAGUGUGAUAAUCACGUUGCGCUGUCAACCGAUCCUGAAAGGCCCGCUCAUAAUGGUCUUCGGACGACUUCAUAUCAAAUUUGACCUCAAAUCAGGUAGGACUACCCGCUGAACUUAAGCAUAUCAAUAAGCGGAGGA